CCAGGGCUGGCAGAGUGGCUUAUUGUGCCGGGUUGAAAUCCCGGUGAAGGGUAUUACCCUUCCGAGGGUUCGAAUCCCUCGCCCUCCG
This 88-nucleotide transfer RNA is filed under the name Planctomycetes bacterium RBG_16_55_9. RNAcentral describes it as "tRNA-Phe". It matches the Rfam family "tRNA". Rfam says of the family: Transfer RNA (tRNA) molecules are approximately 80 nucleotides in length. Their secondary structure includes four short double-helical elements and three loops (D, anti-codon, and T loops). Lineage: Bacteria; Pseudomonadati; Planctomycetota. The record is from RNAcentral.